GAGUAUGAAGUAAAUUUAUUACACUUAGUUUCGGCCUAAGAUUUGGCUAUAAGUCAGCCCUUACUCU
Molecule: transfer RNA, 67 nt
Filed under: Diaphanosoma dubium
Lineage: Eukaryota; Metazoa; Arthropoda; Branchiopoda; Diplostraca; Sididae
Description: tRNA-Arg
Source: RNAcentral